RNAcentral lists this ribosomal RNA (334 nucleotides) under uncultured bacterium. Its description in RNAcentral is "bacterial SSU rRNA". It matches the Rfam family "Bacterial small subunit ribosomal RNA", at positions 568 to 898 of the family's 1533-position model. The record is from RNAcentral.
UGCGUAGGUGGACUGGUAAGUACCUUGUGAAAUCCCACGGCUUAACCGUGGAACUGCUGGGUAUACUGCUGGUCUUGAGCAACCUAGGGGCGAGUGGAACAAAUGGUGGAGCGGUGAAAUGCGUAGAUAUCAUUUGGAACGCCAAUGGUGAAAACAACUCGCUGGGGGUUUGCUGACACUGAGACACGAAAGCCAGGGGGAGCAAACGGGGAUUAGAUACCCCGGUAGUCCUGGCCAUAAACGAUGUCCACUAGAUCGUAGUAGCUCUGACGUUAUUACGGUCGAAGCAAAAGUGCUAAGUGGACCGCCUGGGAAGUACGGUCGCAAGGCUAAA